Molecule: ribosomal RNA, 497 nt
Filed under: uncultured bacterium
Lineage: Bacteria
Description: partial 16S ribosomal RNA
Rfam family: Bacterial small subunit ribosomal RNA
Source: RNAcentral
GGUGAACGCUGGCGGCGUGCCUAAUACAUGCAAGUCGAGCGAACAGACGAGGAGCUUGCUCCUCUGACGUUAGCGGCGGACGGGUGAGUAACACGUGGAUAACCUACCUAUAAGACGGGGAUAACUUCGGGAAACCGGAGCUAAUACCGGAUAACAUGUUGAACCGCAUGGUUCAACAGUGAAAGACGGUCUUGCUGUCACUUAUAGAUGGAUCCGCGCCGCAUUAGCUAGUUGGUAAGGUAACGGCUUACCAAGGCAACGAUGCGUAGCCGACCUGAGAGGGUGAUCGGCCACACUGGAACUGAGACACGGUCCAGACUCCUACGGGAGGCAGCAGUAGGGAAUCUUCCGCAAAGGGCGAAAGCCUGACGGAGCAACGCCGCGUGAGUGAAGAAGGUCUUCGGAUCGUAAAACUCUGUUAUUAGGGAAGAACAAAUGUGUAAGUAACUAUGCACGUCUUGACGGUACCUAAUCAGAAAGCCACGGCUAACUACGUG